CAGUCGCCGCGGUAAUACGAAGGGUGCAAGCGUUAAUCGGAAUUACUGGGCGUAAAGCGUGCGUAGGCGGUGAGUUAAGUCUGCUGUGAAAUCCCCGGGCUCAACCUGGGAAUGGCAGUGGAUACUGGCUCGCUAGAGUGUGUCAGAGGAUGGUGGAAUUCCCGGUGUAGCGGUGAAAUGCGUAGAGAUCGGGAGGAACAUCAGUGGCGAAGGCGGCCAUCUGGGACAACACUGAGGCUGAGGCACGAAAGCGUGGGGAGCAAACAGGAUUAGAUACCCCGGUAGUCCCUGUCUCUUAUAC
This 301-nucleotide ribosomal RNA is filed under the name uncultured bacterium. Its description in RNAcentral is "partial 16S ribosomal RNA". It matches the Rfam family "Bacterial small subunit ribosomal RNA", at positions 509 to 807 of the family's 1533-position model. The record is from RNAcentral.